This 631-nucleotide ribosomal RNA is filed under the name Microbacterium sp. So2Ps_896. RNAcentral's name for it is "bacterial SSU rRNA". It matches the Rfam family "Bacterial small subunit ribosomal RNA", at positions 387 to 1029 of the family's 1533-position model. Lineage: Bacteria; Bacillati; Actinomycetota; Actinomycetes; Micrococcales; Microbacteriaceae. The record is from RNAcentral.
UGCAGCAACGCCGCGUGAGGGACGACGGCCUUCGGGUUGUAAACCUCUUUUAGCAAGGAAGAAGCGAAAGUGACGGUACUUGCAGAAAAAGCGCCGGCUAACUACGUGCCAGCAGCCGCGGUAAUACGUAGGGCGCAAGCGUUAUCCGGAAUUAUUGGGCGUAAAGAGCUCGUAGGCGGUUUGUCGCGUCUGCUGUGAAAACCCGAGGCUCAACCUCGGGCCUGCAGUGGGUACGGGCAGACUAGAGUGCGGUAGGGGAGAUUGGAAUUCCUGGUGUAGCGGUGGAAUGCGCAGAUAUCAGGAGGAACACCGAUGGCGAAGGCAGAUCUCUGGGCCGUAACUGACGCUGAGGAGCGAAAGGGUGGGGAGCAAACAGGCUUAGAUACCCUGGUAGUCCACCCCGUAAACGUUGGGAACUAGUUGUGGGGUCCAUUCCACGGAUUCCGUGACGCAGCUAACGCAUUAAGUUCCCCGCCUGGGGAGUACGGCCGCAAGGCUAAAACUCAAAGGAAUUGACGGGGACCCGCACAAGCGGCGGAGCAUGCGGAUUAAUUCGAUGCAACGCGAAGAACCUUACCAAGGCUUGACAUAUACGAGAACGCUGCAGAAAUGUAGAACUCUUUGGACACUC